GCGGUUGUGGCGAAGUGUUUAACGCAUCGGAUUGUGGUUCCGACACUUGUGGUUUCGAUUCCCAUCAACCGCC
This 73-nucleotide transfer RNA is filed under the name Staphylococcus pseudintermedius. RNAcentral describes it as "tRNA-His". It matches the Rfam family "tRNA". Rfam says of the family: Transfer RNA (tRNA) molecules are approximately 80 nucleotides in length. Their secondary structure includes four short double-helical elements and three loops (D, anti-codon, and T loops). Lineage: Bacteria; Bacillati; Bacillota; Bacilli; Caryophanales; Staphylococcaceae. The record is from RNAcentral.